This 497-nucleotide ribosomal RNA is filed under the name uncultured bacterium. RNAcentral describes it as "partial 16S ribosomal RNA". It matches the Rfam family "Bacterial small subunit ribosomal RNA", at positions 28 to 507 of the family's 1533-position model. The record is from RNAcentral.
GAUGAACGCUGGCGGCGUGCCUAAUACAUGCAAGUCGAGCGAACGGACGAGAAGCUUGCUUCUCUGAUGUUAGCGGCGGACGGGUGAGUAACACGUGGAUAACCUACCUAUAAGACUGGGAUAACUUCGGGAAACCGGAGCUAAUACCGGAUAAAUUUUUGAACCGCAUGGUUCAAAAGUGAAAGACGGUCUUGCUGUCACUUAUAGAUGGAUCCGCGCUGCAUUAGCUAGUUGGUAAGGUAACGGCUUACCAAGGCAACGAUGCAUAGCCGACCUGAGAGGGUGAUCGGCCACACUGGAACUGAGACACGGUCCAGACUCCUACGGGAGGCAGCAGUAGGGAAUCUUCCGCAAUGGGCGAAAGCCUGACGGAGCAACGCCGCGUGAGUGAUGAAGGUCUUCGGAUCGUAAAACUCUGUUAUUAGGGAAGAACAUAUGUGUAAGUAACUGUGCACAUCUUGACGGUACCUAAUCAGAAAGCCACGGCUAACUACGUG